RNAcentral lists this ribosomal RNA (777 nucleotides) under uncultured bacterium. RNAcentral describes it as "bacterial SSU rRNA". It matches the Rfam family "Bacterial small subunit ribosomal RNA", at positions 8 to 796 of the family's 1533-position model. The record is from RNAcentral.
AGAGUUUGAUCAUGGCUCAGGACGAACGCUGGCGGCGUGCUUAACACAUGCAAGUCGAACGGAAAGGCCCUGCUUUUGUGGGGUGCUCGAGUGGCGAACGGGUGAGUAACACGUGAGUAACCUGCCCUUGACUUUGGGAUAACUUCAGGAAACUGGGGCUAAUACCGGAUAGGAGCUCCUGCUGCAUGGUGGGGGUUGGAAAGUUUCGGCGGUUGGGGAUGGACUCGCGGCUUAUCAGCUUGUUGGUGGGGUAGUGGCUUACCAAGGCUUUGACGGGUAGCCGGCCUGAGAGGGUGACCGGCCACAUUGGGACUGAGAUACGGCCCAGACUCCUACGGGAGGCAGCAGUGGGGAAUAUUGCACAAUGGGCGGAAGCCUGAUGCAGCAACGCCGCGUGCGGGAUGACGGCCUUCGGGUUGUAAACCGCUUUCGCCUGUGACGAAGCGUGAGUGACGGUAAUGGGUAAAGAAGCACCGGCUAACUACGUGCCAGCAGCCGCGGUGAUACGUAGGGUGCGAGCGUUGUCCGGAUUUAUUGGGCGUAAAGGGCUCGUAGGUGGUUGAUCGCGUCGGAAGUGUAAUCUUGGGGCUUAACCCUGAGCGUGCUUUCGAUACGGGUUGACUUGAGGAAGGUAGGGGAGAAUGGAAUUCCUGGUGGAGCGGUGGAAUGCGCAGAUAUCAGGAGGAACACCAGUGGCGAAGGCGGUUCUCUGGGCCUUUCCUGACGCUGAGGAGCGAAAGCGUGGGGAGCGAACAGGCUUAGAUACCCUGGUAGUCC